GUGUCUCAGAGUCGGCUACACCCAAGUCAUGCUGACAUGUUAAUUCCCAAUAAAUCCUGUUUAAUUUUGGAAGUUUGGCUCGAGACUCAUGAUUUAAUUGGGGUAACUGAUGGAAUCCUGACACAUAUAGUACAUGGAUUAUAGAA
Pseudonaja textilis is the source of this 146-nucleotide non-coding RNA. The record is from RefSeq and is a predicted model, not a curated record. NCBI's taxonomy places the organism in Eukaryota, Metazoa, Chordata, Lepidosauria, Squamata, Elapidae.